This 502-nucleotide ribosomal RNA is filed under the name uncultured bacterium. RNAcentral's name for it is "bacterial SSU rRNA". It matches the Rfam family "Bacterial small subunit ribosomal RNA", at positions 30 to 527 of the family's 1533-position model. The record is from RNAcentral.
AUUGAACGCUGGCGGCAUGCUUUACACAUGCAAGUCGAACGGCAGCGGGGGCUUCGGCCCGCCGGCGAGUGGCGAACGGGUGAGUAACGCGUGAGGAACCUGCCUUGGAGAGGGGAAUAACACACUGAAAAGUGUGCUAAUACCGCAUGAUAUAUCGAAGUCGCAUGGCUUUGAUAUCAAAGAUUUAUCGCUCUAAGAUGGCCUCGCGUCUGAUUAGCUAGUUGGUGGGGUAACGGCCCACCAAGGCGACGAUCAGUAGCCGGACUGAGAGGUUGACCGGCCACAUUGGGACUGAGAUACGGCCCAGACUCCUACGGGAGGCAGCAGUGGGGAAUAUUGGGCAAUGGGCGAAAGCCUGACCCAGCAACGCCGCGUGAAGGAAGAAGGCCCUCGGGUUGUAAACUUCUUUUAUACGGGAAUAAAGUGCCCCACGCGUGGGGUUUUGCAUGUACCGUAUGAAUAAGGAUCGGCUAACUCCGUGCCAGCAGCCGCGGUAAUUACG